CACCAGAAGGUUGUGGCUGAGAGUCUUCCUCAUCUUCAUGAUCCUCACCACUGCGGCAUCUAUCUGGUACUGCCUGUCCUGGAAGACCCGCUCUGUGGUGCUCACCUGCUCCUCUACCUGAGGAGAGCAAAAUACGGGCCUUCAGUUUCACCUGUGAAGACUGCAUUUGUUGUUAAAAAGGAUAAACCAACAUGAAGAUCAGAGAGCUGUCUAUGGGAGAAAAGCAAGUCGUUUUGAAGCUGAGAAAUGAGGGAAAAUCAAUCAGAGCCAUUGCACAAACAUGGGGCAUAGUCAAUACAACAAUUUGGAGUGUCCUGAAAAAGAAAGAAACCACUGGUGUGCUGAACAACUGAGCAAUGGGUCGGCCAAGGAAAACAACAACAACAACAAC
Ictalurus punctatus (channel catfish) is the source of this 391-nucleotide long non-coding RNA. RefSeq lists it as uncharacterized. The record is from RefSeq and is a predicted model, not a curated record. NCBI's taxonomy places the organism in Eukaryota, Metazoa, Chordata, Actinopteri, Siluriformes, Ictaluridae. The transcript is spliced from 2 exons.